RNAcentral lists this long non-coding RNA (4389 nucleotides) under Citrus x clementina. Its description in RNAcentral is "Citrus clementina (C. clementina) long non-coding RNA (CCLE_LNC006273)". The record is from RNAcentral. Lineage: Eukaryota; Viridiplantae; Streptophyta; Magnoliopsida; Sapindales; Rutaceae.
GUCGCGGGCACAGCCGCAUCCAAAAAUAAGCGCCCGAAGUUCGUGGUGCCAAAACCCCCCAGCGGAAAAAUGGCCAAAAAACGGGUGGGCUAUAGCCUUGGUGGGGGGCGCGGGCGAAGUUCGUCUGCCGGACUCGGAAUGGGGCGAGACUUUGCGAGGGGCCUCGGGGUGCCCGCGGGAAGUCGCGGGCACAGCCGCGUCCAAAAAUAAGCGCCCGAAGGUCGUGGUGCCAAAAUCCCCCAGCGGAAAAAUGGCCAAAAAACGGGUGGGCUAUAGCCUUGGUGGGGGGCGCGGGCGAAGUUCGUCCGCCGGACUCGGAAUGGGGCGAGACUUUGCGCGGGGCCUCGGGGCGCCAAAAAUAAGCCGCGGGCAAAGCCGCGCCCAAAAAUAAGCGCCCGAAGGUCGUGUUGCCAAAACCCCCCAGCGGAAAAAUGCCAAAAAACGGGUGGGCUAUAGCCUUGGCGGGGGGCGCGGGCGAAGUUCGUCCGCCGGACUCGGAAUGGGGCGAGACUUUGCGAGGGGCCUCGGGGUGCCCGCGGGAAGUCACGGGCACAGCCGCGCCCAAAAAUAAGCGGCCGAAGGUCGUGGUGCCAAAACCCCCCAGCGGAAAAAUGGCCAAAACACGAGUGGGCUAUAGCCUUGGUGGGGGGCGCGGGCGAAGUUCGUCCGCCGGACUCGAAAUGGGGCGAGACUUUGCGAGGGGCCUCGGGGCGCCAAAAAUAAGCCGCGGGCAAAGCCGAGCCCAAAAAUAAGCGCCCGAAGGUCGUGGUGCCAAAACCCCCCAGCGGAAAAAUGGCCAAAAAACGGGUGGGCUAUAGCCUUGGUGGGGGGCGCGGGCGAAGUUCGUCCGCCGGACUCGGAAUGGGGCGAGACUUUGCGCGGGGCCUCGGGGCGCCAAAAAUAAGCCGCGGGCAAAGCCGCGCCCAAAAAUAAGCGCCCGAAGGUCGUGGUGUGAAAACCCCCCAGCGGAAAAACGGCCUAAAAACGGGUGGGCUAUAGCCUUGGUGGGGGGCGCGGGCGAAGUUCGUCCGCCGGACUCGGAAUGGGGCGAGACUUUGCGAGGGGCCUCGGCGUGCCAAAAAUAAGCUGCGGGCAAAGCCGCACCCAAAAAUAAGCGCCCGAAGGUCGUGGUGCCAAAACCCCCCAGCGGAAAAAUGGCCAAAAAACGGGUGGGCUAUAGCCUUGGUGGGGGGCGCAGGCGAAGUUCGUCCGCCGGACUCGGAAUGGGGCGAGACUUUGCGAGGGGCCUCGGGGUGCCCGCGGGAAGUCGCGGGCACAGCCGCGUCCAAUAAUAAGCGCCCAAAGUUCGUGGUGCCAAAACCCCCCAGCGGAAAAAUGGCCAAAAAACGGGUGGGCUAUAGCCUUGGUGGGGGGCGCGGGCGAAGUUCGUCCGCCGGACUCGGAAUGGGGCGAGACUUUGCGAGGGGCCUCGGGGCACCAAAAAUAAGCCGCGGGCAAAGCCGCGCCCAAAAAUAAGCGCCCGAAGGUCGUGGUGCCAAAACCCCCACGGAAAAAUACCAAAAAACGGGUGGGCUAUAGCCUUGGUGGGGGGCGCGGGCGAAGUUCGUCCGCCGGACUCGGAAUGGGGCGAGACUUUGCGAGGGGCCUCGGGGUGCCCGCGGGAAGUCGCGGGCACAGCCGCGUCCAAAAAUAAGUGCCCGAAGUUCGUGGUGCCAAAACCCACCAGCGGAAAAAUGGCCAAAAAACGGGUGGGCUAUAGCCUUGGUGGGGGGCGCGGGCGAAGUUCGUCCGCCGGACUCGGAAUGGGGCGAGACUUUGCGAGGGGCCUCGGGGUGCCCAAAAUAAGCCGCGGGCAAAGCCGCGCCCAAAAAUAAGUGCCCGAAGGUCAUGUUGCCAAAACCCCCCAGCGGAAAAAUGGCCAAAAAAUGGGUGGGCUUAGCCUGGUGGGGGGCGCGGGGAAGUUCGUCCGCCCGACUCGGAAUGGGGCGAGACUUUGCGAGGGGCCUCGGGGUGCCCGCGGAAAGUCGCGGGCACAGCCACGUCCAGAAUAAGAGCCGAAAGGUCGUGGUGCCAAACCCCCCCAGCGGAAAAAUGGCCAAAAAACGGGUGGGCUAUAGCCUUGGUGGGGGGCGCGGGCGAAGUUCGUCCGCCGGACUCGGAAUGGGGCGAGACUCUGCGAGGGGCCUCGGGGUGCCCGCGGGAAGUCGCGGGCACAGCCGCGUCCAGAAAUAAGCGCCCGAAGGUCGUGGUGCCAAAACCCCCCAGCGGAAAAAUGGCCAAAAAACGGGUGGGCUAUAGCCUUGGUGGGGGGCGCGGGCGAAGUUCGUGCGCCGGACUCGGAAUGGGGCGAGACUUUGCGAGGAGCCUCGGGGCGCCAAAAAUAAGCCGCGGGCAAAGCCGCGCCCAAAAAUAAGCGCCCGAAGGUCGUGGUGCCAAAACCCGCCAGCGGAAAAAUGGCCAAAAAACGGGUGGCCUAUAGCCUUCGUGGGGGGCGCGAGCGAAGUUCGUCCGCCGGACUCGGAAUGGGGCGAGACUUUGCGAGGGGCCUCGGCGCACCAAAAAUAAGCCGCGGGCAAAGCCGCGCCCAAAAAUAAGCGCCUGAAGGUCGUGGUGCCAAAACCCCCCAGCGGAAAAAUGGCCAAAAAACGGGUGGGCUAUAGCCUUGGUGGGGGGCGCGGGCGAAGUUCGUCCGCCGGGCUCGGAAUGGGGCGAGACUUUGCGAGGGGCCUCGGCGCACCAAAAAUAAGCGCCUGAAGGUCGUGGUGCCAAAACCCCCCAGCGGAAAAAUGGCCAAAAAACGGGUGGGCUAUAGCCUUGGUGGGGGGCGCGGGCGAAGUUCGUCCGCCGGACUCAGAAUGGGGCGUGACUUUGCGAGGGGCCUCGGGGUGCCUGCGGGAAGUCGCGGGCACAGCCGCGUCCAAAAAUAAGCACCCGAAGGUCGUGGUGCCAAAACCCCCCAGCGGAAAAAUGGCCAAAAAACGGGUGGGCUAUAGCCUUAGUGGGGGGCGCGUGCGAAGUUCGUCCGCCGGACUCGGAAUGGGGCGAGACUUUGCGAGGGGCCUCGGGGUGCCAAAAAUAAGCCGCGGGCAAAGCCGCGCCCAAAAAUAAGCGCCCGAAGGUCGUGGUGCCAAAACCCCCCAGCGGAAAAAUGGCCAAAAAACGGGUGGGCUAUAGCCUUGGUGGGGGGCGCGGGCGAAGUUCGUCCGCCGGACUCGGAAUGGGGCGAGACUUUGCGAGGGGCCUCGGAGUGCCCGCGGGAAGUCGCGGGCACAGCCGCGUCCAAAAAUAAGCGCCCGAAGGUCGUGGUGCCAAAACCCCCCCAGCGGAAAAAUGGCCAAAAAACGGGUGGGCUAUAGCCUUGGUGGGGGGCGCGGGCGAAGUUCGUCCGCCGGACUCGGAAUGGGGCGAGAUUUGCGAGGGGCCUCGGGGUGCAAAAAUAAGCCACGGGCAAGGCCGCGCCCAAAAAUAAGCGCCCGAAGGUCGUGGUGCCAAAACCCCCCAGCGGAAAAAUGGCCAAAAAACGGGUGGGCUAUAGCCUGGUGGGGGGCGCGGGCGAAGUUCGUCCGCCGGACUCGGAAUGGGGCGAGACUUUGCGCAGGGGCCUCGGGGUGCCAAAAAUAAGCCGCGGGCAAAGCCGCGCCCAAAAAUAAGCGCCCGAACGUCGUGGUGCCAAAACCCCCCAGCGGAAAAAUGGCCAAAAAACGGGUGGGCUAUAGCCUUGGUGGGGGGCGCGGGCGAAGUUCGUCCGCCGGACUCGGAAUGGGGCGAGACUUUGCGAGGGGCCUCGGGGUGCCCGCGGGAAGUCGCGGGCACAGCCGCGUCCAAAAAUAAGCGCCCGAAGGUCGUGGUGCCAAAACCCCCCCAGCGGAAAAAUGGCCAAAAAACGGGUGGGCUAUAGCCUUGGUGGGGGGCGCGGGCGAAGUUCGUCUGCCGGACUCGGAAUGGGGCGAGACUUUGCGAGGGGCCUCGGGGUGCCAAAAAUAAGCCACGGGCAAGGCCGCGCCCAAAAAUAAGCGCCCGAAGGUCGUGGUGCCAAAACCCCCCAGCGGAAAAAUGGCCAAAAAACGGGUGGGCUAUAGCCUUGGUGGGGGGCGCGGGCGAAGUUCGUCCGCCGGACUCGGAAUGGGGCGAGACUUUGCGAGGGGCCUCGGGGUGCCCGCGGGAAGUCACGGGCACAGCCGCGUCCAGAAAUAAGAGCCCGAAGGUCGUGGUGCCAAAACCCCCAGCGGAAAAAUGGCCAAAAAACGGGUGGGCUAUAGCCUUGGUAGGGGGCGCGGGCGAAGUUCGUCCGCCGGACUCGGAAUGGGGCGAGACUUUGCGAGGGGCCUCGGGGUGCCCGCGGGAAGUCGCGGGCACAGCCGCGUCCCGAAAUAAGCGCCCGAAGGUCGUGGUGCCAAAACCCCCCAGCGGAAAAAUGGCCAAAAAACC